ACUUAAAAGUCCAAUCUCAUUUCAUCUUCAUUCUCGAACCACAAAGCAAAAACAAUGCAGACAUCUUACCCUUUCAACUCUCUCUCGAUUUCUUUUCUUUGCACAGACAACACACCAUCUUUUUUUUUUGUCUGCUCUCUCCCCCACUCGAUCUCUAUAAGGUAAUCACCACCAAAUCCAUUCAACACUCAUAUUCCCCACACACCACAGCCUCUCUAUCCCUCCCUCUGACUACAUGCCGGCGGCCGGAAUAACCGGCGGAGCCAUGCUCCGGUCAUCUUGUUCUCCGGGGUUCAGUUCACCGACAAACACCCACCUUCUCCCUUCUGACUGACGGACGGCUGACCACCGCCACCACAGCCGUCUGGUGGCGGCGUGGUGACAAGACAGAGAGUGGCGUAAGAGGGAGAGAGCGGCGGAGAUUAGGAGCAGCGCCGCCGUCCACGGCAGCGGCGGUCGGCGUCUUGGUCCGGCGGUCUGCGUCAAGGUCCGGCGGUCUUUGUCAUUAUCCGACGGGUUUUUGUUCGGAAGUCCCGGUCCGGGUCAGAUCGAUUACAGGUGACCGACUCAGCUCCGGAGACGGCUGUGGAGAGUGAUGGUGAUUAUGUUCAGGUCUGAGUCAUGGUUCCUUUCUUCUCAUUCUCCUUUAGAUCCGGCUCGAGUUCAGGAAUGUGACUCCCGUUUCGGGUCAUGGCUCGAGGUUUGAUUCUGAUGUGGUUUUUGGUUCGUCUUUCGGUUCAACAGGAUUUAGUUACGUUCGGUUCGGGAGUUCCGGGUCAGAUUUAACGGCUCUCGGUUCGGUCAACGAUGGUCAACGGGUCAGUUGGGUUCGGGUCAGCUGGUCAACGUUCAAGGAGGGUCAAGUCGACAGGAUUUCGGGUUCGGUUGGCUCAGAUUUGGUGUUCGAGUCAACCGAGUCAACCCGGUCAAACCUGGUAAACUCAGCGAGUCAACUCGGUCAACCCGGUUGACUCGGUCAACCCGGUCAACUCAGUCAACGAAAGCGGCACGAAAGACUUGAUAAUAGCGAAUGUGAGUUUCAGAAACACGGUCACUAGAGAAUGCUACUGCGCAGGCAGGAAAGCGGUUACUGUCAGAUGGAAGUUUAUGAAGCAAGAGAGACGUUUGUUCUCUUGUAUUGUUUAAUGUACUUUGAUUGAUGCAGAUAUUGUGCUGGACAACUGUGCGAUUUGUAGAAAUCAUAUUAUGGAUCUAUGUAUCGAGUGUCAAGCUAAUCAGGCUAGCUCUACUAGCGAAGAGUGUACUGUUGCUUGGGGUAUGCCGGUAUCUUUUUGUUCACUGUGAUAAUGAUCCUGCACCAUGGACAAGCUUGCGUAAGUCCAGCUGAUACCAACGCAGAAGAAACACUAAACACCUUGAAGUAUGCCAAUCGAGCUCGUAACAUACCAAACAAAGCUAUUGUUAAUCGUGAUCCAGUCACAGCUCAAAUGCAAAGAAAGACAAGUUACUGCUUAAAAUUGAAUCUGCACGUGGUGGCAAACCAUGGGAUGAGAUAGACUGUGACUCGAAUAAGGUUCUUGGCUAUUAUCAAUCGAAAAACCGGCCUCGAGAAUCACGUUCUAGAGUGUUGAAGCUCGAUUUAGAAUCCGUUAGAAUCCGUAAUGCAUGAUACUAAAAUUACCGAUGUCCCACUUCAAUUAACUAUAUCUCAAAUAUCGGUCCUUGACCGAUUUCCAAUUUUUUACCGCAUUAACGGCAUAGAUUCUGUUACAGAUUUGUGUGGCCACGUGACCUUUGUUAAGUGCGGUAUUGGCGCCGAAAUGAUGAUGGGAGUUAUGUUGGACUCUUUUGCUCUAGGGAGCAUGAGAACUGUGGCCCACAACCAGGAUACGUGCGCGCUCAUAUUGAGACUGUAAAGCAAGCUAAACACAGCAUGCUUGGAAGUCUAUAAAUACAACAUCAAUCUCAACACUCUACAAACACUCAACUGAGACGAAUUAAACCUUCAAAUUAAUAUCAAUACUCUUUGCAUCUGGAUCUUGCGUUGUUUCUCGGCUCUUCACAUCAAGGUUUUACAUUUUUUGUCGGCUUUUUACAUCUGGCUCUUGCAUUGUUGUAAGUUCUCUCACAUUUCUUGGUUACUUUUGUAACUUUUAACUGUAGUUUUUGCAUCUGUAUUGUUUAACUGUGGCUUUUUAUAUCUGUUAGUUUUGUAACAUGUAUUGUUUUAGUUUGUUUGUAUUGUAAAAUUGCAAAUUUACCCAUUAUGAUUUAUUUUCUUAAAAGUGUAUUAUAGAUUGACUCUUUUACCCUUAUUUCUAUUAAUACUUUUAAAAGUUUUCUAUAUUUUAAUAUUUAUCCAUUUUUAACUUUUUGUUUUUUUAACCAAAUUAUGUUUUUUUACCGUUGUAUAAUUGCAUACUACGAAUAAAAGUGAUUCAUCUUUCCUUUUUUGCUCUUGCAUCAAAGCAAUGAACAUGUGGACCAGAUUCUUAAAUUUUUUUUAUUAAUUUUAUGUUUUUUAACGAUUUCCAUAGAUUUGCUUUCUGCAUUCCUCUAGAUUUUGGAUCUGUCUUUUAUGGCUACUUUGAAAUCAAAGUCGAUGCUUUCUGCCACUUGUUUUGGAAUUUGGAACGGCCAUUGAAUCUCCUUUGAUUUCCAGAUGUCAAUCGGAUUGCUUUUUUUUUUUUGUUGUUGAAACCGAUUUGGGAAUUGAGUUGCAUGACAGAUCUUUGUUCUUGUUGUCGUUUUGGCUAUUGACUUUUUGAUUUCCGAAUAGUUUAGCUAUUAUGAAUUAAUUUGUUUACGAGCUUUAA
Molecule: long non-coding RNA, 2777 nt
Organism: Helianthus annuus (common sunflower)
Lineage: Eukaryota; Viridiplantae; Streptophyta; Magnoliopsida; Asterales; Asteraceae
Exons: 9
Source: RefSeq, a predicted model, not a curated record